AUCAACCAUCAAGCCUGGCUUGUCGUUGGACCCCUUGUUGCUGAAAUAUGCGGCAGGUCCGAAAGAUAAUGACGGCGUCGUGCUUGACCCUAGAUGCAACGAGCUUUUUAGCACGCAUUGAAGUGGUCGGCCGACCCGGUCUUUAACCAUCAUUUUCUAAGGUUGACCUCGGAUCAGGUAGGAAUACCCGCUGAACUUAA
Molecule: unclassified non-coding RNA, 200 nt
Filed under: soil metagenome
Description: partial contains internal transcribed spacer 2 and large subunit ribosomal RNA
Source: RNAcentral